Molecule: ribosomal RNA, 253 nt
Filed under: uncultured bacterium
Lineage: Bacteria
Description: partial 16S ribosomal RNA
Rfam family: Bacterial small subunit ribosomal RNA
Source: RNAcentral
UACAGCGGGGGCAAGCGUUGUUCGGAAUUACUGGGCGUAAAGGGCGCGUAGGCGGCCUUCUAAGUCGAACGUGAAAUCCCUGGGCUCAACCCAGGAACUGCGUCCGAUACUGGAAGGCUUGAAUCCGGGAGAGGGAUGCGGAAUUCCAGGUGUAGCGGUGAAAUGCGUAGAUAUCUGGAGGAAUACCGGUGGCGAAGGCGGCAUCCUGGACCGACAUUGACGCUGAUGAGCGAAAGCUAGGGGAGCAAACGGG